GUACGCGGAGGAGCGCACUGCAAAAAAGGAACUCAAAGCUACAUUGGCUCACCUCUCCAUCGGGUCCAAGAGCAGGAGUCUGACCCUCAGCGUUCUCCAACUGCAGCACAAGCAGAUACAAUACGUCACAAAA
Long non-coding RNA from Fundulus heteroclitus (mummichog), 133 nucleotides. RefSeq lists it as uncharacterized. The record is from RefSeq and is a predicted model, not a curated record. The transcript has 2 exons. NCBI's taxonomy places the organism in Eukaryota, Metazoa, Chordata, Actinopteri, Cyprinodontiformes, Fundulidae.